UUGGAGGGCAAGUCUGGUGCCAGCAGCCGCGGUAAUUCCAGCUCCAAUAGCGUAUAUUAAAGUUGUUGCAGUUAAAAAGCUCGUAGUUGAAUUUCGGGGUCAGUAGGUUGGUCAUGCCACUGGUAUGUACUGGUCUCACUGAUUCCUCCUUCCUGAUGAACUGUAAUGCCAUUAAUUUGGUGUUGCAGGGAAUCUGGACUGUUACUUUGAAAAAAUUAGAGUGUCUAAAGCAGGCUAACGCCUGAAUACACUAGCAUGGAAUAAUGAAAUAGGACGUUCGAUCCUAUUUUGUUGGUUUCUAGGAUUGACGUAAUGAUUAAUAGGGAUAGUUGGGGGCAUUAGUAUUCAAUUGUCAGAGGUGAAAUUCUUGGAUUUAUUGAAGACUAACUACUGCGAAAGCAUUUGCCAAGGAUGUUUUCAUUAAUCAAGAACGAAAGUUAGGGGAUCGAAGACGAUCAGAUACCGUCGUAGUCUUAACCAUAAACUAUGCCGACUAGGGAUCGGAUGAUGUUAAUUUUUUAAUGACUCAUUCGGCGCCUUACGGGAAAC
RNAcentral lists this ribosomal RNA (549 nucleotides) under uncultured Rhizophagus. RNAcentral's name for it is "SSU rRNA". It matches the Rfam family "Eukaryotic small subunit ribosomal RNA", at positions 548 to 1098 of the family's 1831-position model. The record is from RNAcentral. Lineage: Eukaryota; Fungi; Glomeromycota; Glomeromycetes; Glomerales; Glomeraceae.